This 1244-nucleotide ribosomal RNA is filed under the name metagenome. RNAcentral's name for it is "bacterial LSU rRNA". It matches the Rfam family "Bacterial large subunit ribosomal RNA", at positions 1564 to 2817 of the family's 2925-position model. The record is from RNAcentral.
UGAAUACGAGACGCUAAGGCGUCGAAGUAGUGUAUGUCAUACUUCCAAGAAAAGCUUGCACUGUCAUAGAUAAAAAACGCCUGUACCAUAACCGACACAGGUGGGUAGGUAGAGUAUACUAAGGGGCGCGAGAUAACUCUCUCUAAGGAACUCGGCAAAAUAACUCCGUAACUUCGGGAGAAGGAGUGCCUUGUUCGUAAGGUUGCAAUAACAAGAUCCAAGCAACUGUUUAUCAAAAACACAGGUCUCCGCUAAGUCGUAAGACGAUGUAUGGGGGCUGACGCCUGCCCAGUGCCAGAAGGUUAAAGAAGUUGGUUAGCAAUUGCGAAGCUGAUAACUGAAGCCCUGGUGAACGGCGGCCGUAACUAUAACGGUCCUAAGGUAGCGAAAUUCCUUGUCGGGUAAGUUCCGACCCGCACGAAAGGCGUAAUGAUUUGGAUACUGUCUCGGAGAGGGGCUCGGUGAAAUAGACUUGUCUGUGAAGAUGCGGACUACCUGCACCAGGACAGAAAGACCCUAUGAAGCUUUACUGUAACUUGAAAUUGAAAUUGGACUUUAUUCGCGCAGUAUAGGUGGGAGGCGUUGAUUAUAAUCUUGUGGGAUUAUUGGAGCCAUCAGUGAGAUACCACUCUUGUAAUGUUAGAUUUCUAACUUUGAAUCAUUAUCUGGUCAAAGAACAGUUUCAGGCGGGCAGUUUGACUGGGGCGGUCGCCUCCUAAACGGUAACGGAGGCGUACAAAGGUUUCCUCUGAACGGUUAGAAAUCGUAUCUAGAGUGUAAAGGCAUAAGGAAGCUUGACUGUGAGACCUACAAGUCGAGCAGGGACGAAAGUCGGUCUUAGUGAUCUGACGGUACUGAGUGGAAAGGCCGUCACUCAACGGAUAAAAGUUACUCUAAGGAUAACAGGCUGAUCUCCCCCAAGAGUUCACAUCGAUGGGGAGGUUUGGCACCUCGAUGUCGGCUCAUCGCAUCCUGGGGCGGUAGUACGUCCCAAGGGUUGGGCUGUUCGCCCAUGAAAGCGGUACGCGAGCUGGGUUCAGAACGUCGUGAGACAGUUCGGUCCAUAUCCGGUGUAGGCGUUAGAAUAUUGAGAGGAGCCUUCUUUAGUACGAGAGGACCGAGAAGGACAUACCUCUGGUGUACCAGUUAUCGUGCCAACGGUAAACGCUGGGUAGCUAUGUAUGGAGUGGAUAACCGCUGAAAGCAUCUAAGUGGGAAGCCCACCUCAAGAUAAGUAUUCUCAC